Rhopalosiphum padi (bird cherry-oat aphid) is the source of this 3417-nucleotide RNA transcript. It is a transcript of the gene named calcium channel flower, with no coding region annotated. NCBI's taxonomy places the organism in Eukaryota, Metazoa, Arthropoda, Insecta, Hemiptera, Aphididae. The transcript has 7 exons. The record is from RefSeq and is a predicted model, not a curated record.
AGCAGCAGCUGCCGUCGGGGAGGUCUUAUCUCGGGCAAUAAAAACGAUAAGGUCGAUGACGACGACCUCACUACCACCACAGUCCAGUUAACGAUUCACAAUCACACAUAUCUUUCCGUUGUCAACAGAAGUAUUUAGCAAGCCGUACUCAUUGCACUAGUAAUAACUGUAAUUUUGUCAGUUACCGUUUUACUCGCGGUUUUAUUUCACGCAACGACUGUAAAAAUAAUUACUCAUCGGCAGCAUCCGCCGUGGUUCAGAUCUCUCUGCUACCCGCUUUCACCCCGUUUGCCGACGGACCCGCAUACGAUUGCGCGCCCACUUGAGCCCAGCUACUAGAACCACCCGCCCACGCACAAGCGCGAUUCGACCAUGUCUAUGGGAGAUAAAGUCACAAAUCUUUGGAAAAGGGCUAGCGAUGAAGGUGAAAAUAGAGAUGAAAUUCCUUGGCACUUAAAAUAUGGUAGUAGAACAUUAGGAACAUUUGCUGGCAUUGUUAAUUUAUUCACUGGUAUUUGGAAUGGACUCGGAUUAAUUUUUUUAAACACAGAUUGUUUAUUUGGUGGAAUUUUACAACUACUUCUCGGUAUUUUACUAAUUGCGUUAGAAGCACCUUUUCUAUGUGUGUUUAUUGAUUAUAUGCAGAAAGUCAGUGAUGUCGCUGAAAAUAAACCCUAUUGGACUAGAGCUAUUGUAUAUGCUGGGCUAUCCUUAGUACCAUUGCUUUUAUGUUUUGGUCCAAGUACAUUAAUAGCCAGCGCUUUAGUAUUUUGUACUGGUUUAUUGUAUGGUCUCAUGUCAGUUGGAAAAAAAGGAUCUAGGGAAGACAUGGGAGCUAUUGCUUCUCCCGUUGAUAACGUCUCUCAACCCAUGGGCGGACAUCACACAACUUUAAUGGAAGAUCCAGAUGUGUGGCGUCCCACUUAAGGCAAACUGAACUAAAUUUUUAAAGUGUAUUAUUGUUGCUUAUUUUACUGGUAGUUCAUCCGCUCCAAUCAUUCCAUAUAAAUAGGAUUUUGGGCACCAGCAGAACAAAUGAAAACUACAGCAUCCACAUUAGAGCCAUGAAACAUAUACAACAUUAGUGGAAAAUAUACACAUAUAUAUAGAUGUAUACAACUGUAUAUCACAACCUUAGAAUUCACUAAAACCAAUUUAAAUUAAUUUAUUGGUUCUCAAGUGAUUUUAUUGAAAUCACUAUCCACAUGCAUUCCAAUAUACCAUGGUCUCCUAACUGAUGAUACUCAUUUAUCUAUGGUAAUGAAGUUCAACAAAAUUAUUAAAUUGAUUCAAUAUAUAUAUAUAAAUAUAUCUAUAUAUAUAUAUCUAUAGAUGUAUUGAUGUCCAUUAAUAGUAUUCCUCUACAUUUCAUCCCAUUCAAUUGUAUAAUAGAUUUUCACAUAUAUAUCUAAAAAACCUUAAAUAAGAUUAUCUUAAUAUUUAUUCUAAUUUUACAAUAUAAUCUUGUUGCAUGCCAUUAAUAUACAUAAAUUUAGUUGUCAUGAUUUAAAACAAUUUUUAAUAGGAUAUUGAAAUUUUUACUGCUAAAAUAUAAAUAUAACAUUAACCAAGUGACUGCAGAAUCUCUAUUGAAUCAUUUUUAUGAUAAUUAUAUCCAAUAUUAAUAAUUUGUAAUUCUAAAAUUAUUUACCUAGUUGAAUAAGUUUUAGGUUACUUAUAAAGUAACUUAAACUACUUUUAAAUAUUUUGUUUAUUUAUUAUUACCAUUUUUCUUUAAGUAUUUAAUUUAUGUGAAUUAUCCCAAAGAACACGCUCGCACUGUAAUAACUCAUUUUAAUGUUCCUGUUAUUGAUAAAUAAUAUUUAUCGUACAAUAUAAACAAGUUUAUGUACUAUGGACAUCUUAAAUAUCUUUUUAUUUAAUUAUUUAUUAAUGUCAUCUAAUUUAAAUUAUUUUAUCAAGUAAUAAUUAAACAUAAAAAAAAAAAAAUUAAAAACUACCCUUUGUUUUAAACGAUAUUAUUAAAAAUAAUAAUAAUUUUUCAAGUAACAAAAUUAUUUUCAUAAAAUUAAUUAAUUAAAUAAAAUACAAAUAUGUUCAUAAUUUCAUUACUGUUUUUCUAACUUAAAUUAUUAAAGUGUAACAUAAAUUAUGAAAAUGUAAUGUUUCAUAUUAUCGUUAUUUACAUUUAAAAUGUAUUUAUAAAUAAAUUAUUUAAAAUAAAGAAAUGUGUUUAAAUACAAUUAUAUAUUAUUAGGUAUUACAGAUAUGAGAUAAUAUGUAAAAUCCAUGUAUAUUUUACUAAGAAUUAAUUUAUUCAUUCAAUAUUAAACAAAAUGGACUUAAUGUGUUUAACUGCAGUCAGUGAAUGGUGCUGCGGUUAUGCACUAUCCGAUAUUGCUUGCUCUUGGAUAGAUGACCACCCAAAUUCCUAGCAACAAAACUAUGUUUCAUAUAUGAGAAUACAUGUUUCAAAAAUUCUAACGUAUCAUACUUUACCUUAACAAAAUAUAUCUCUCAGCUUAUGGUUAUAGUUGCUAAAAUUUAAUUAAAAAUAUAUAUAUGUAUUAUGAAUGUAUUAAUUAUUUAUUGGUAACAUUUUCUGAUGAGCAAAAGUAAAAUUAAAUUCCUUAUACUUUAACAUAAUUUUUUAAUUAUCUGACAGUUUAUAUCAUAUCUUUAAUACCUAUGAGUAAAAAUAAUAAGUAUAUUUUCACUACAUAAACUAUACAAAUGUUUGUUAUCAUUUACUUAUUUCUAAAAUGUCAGUAGUUGAUUUAAAAAUGAAUAAAAAAUGAAUUGUACUUAUCAUUUCCUAACUGUUAAUAAUAUCAAUUAUGCGAGUACAAAUAUAUAGAGAAUUUGGGUUUUUUCCUUAAAAAAAAUAUACUAUAAUAUGUAAGUUAAUUAAUAUAAUUACUGUAAUAAUAUCUUUAAAUUUUAAAAACUAUAUGGAAGCUUUUUAACUCCUUUUUUUUUAUAGAAUUAUUGUUAUUUUUAAUAAACCAUAUUAAUUGAAUUUAGCCUUUAGAAAAUAACUGUUUUCAUGAAAUAUAGGCAAAAACUUAUUAUAUAUUAAUUAAUUUGACUUUUGAAUACUAAGUCAUAGUUUAACAUUGAUUAUUAUUUAUAGUUUUAGUUUUAAGUUUAGACUAUUAACUAUUUUAAUAUUCAUUGUAAACAUAAUUGUUAUAAAUUGUUGUGUAAUUGGCAAAAAAAUAUGUUACCUACUAAAUUAAUACACAAUAGUAUAGUUUAUUAAGACUAUAAUAAUCCAUUACUAUUCGUGCAUACUUUACUACAUAUUUUAUGGAUUUUAUAACAAUAUGUUCAUCAGUAUUUAAACAAAAUAUUAACCAUUGUAUUAUUUAAUGUGACAUUUAAAAAAGUUAUUUAGAAAAUAAAUAAUUAGAAUUAUAUUUUAACUGUAUUCAAUUAAAAUAUACAUAAACUUGA